GUGAACGCUGGCGGUAGGCCUAACACAUGCAAGUCGAACGGCAGCACAGUAAGAGCUUGCUCUUACGGGUGGCGAGUGGCGGACGGGUGAGGAAUACAUCGGAAUCUACUUUUUCGUGGGGGAUAACGUAGGGAAACUUACGCUAAUACCGCAUACGACCUACGGGUGAAAGCAGGGGAUCUUCGGACCUUGCGCGAUUGAAUGAGCCGAUGUCGGAUUAGCUAGUUGGCGGGGUAAAGGCCCACCAAGGCGACGAUCCGUAGCUGGUCUGAGAGGAUGAUCAGCCACACUGGAACUGAGACACGGUCCAGACUCCUACGGGAGGCAGCAGUGGGGAAUAUUGGACAAUGGGCGCAAGCCUGAUCCAGCCAUACCGCGUGGGUGAAGAAGGCCUUCGGGUUGUAAAGCCCUUUUGUUUGGAAAGAAAAGCAGCAGGUUAAUACCCCGCUGUUCUGACGGUACCCAAAGAAUAAGCACCGGCUAACUUCGUG
This 491-nucleotide ribosomal RNA is filed under the name uncultured bacterium. Its description in RNAcentral is "partial 16S ribosomal RNA". It matches the Rfam family "Bacterial small subunit ribosomal RNA", at positions 29 to 507 of the family's 1533-position model. The record is from RNAcentral.